Molecule: long non-coding RNA, 848 nt
Organism: Helianthus annuus (common sunflower)
Lineage: Eukaryota; Viridiplantae; Streptophyta; Magnoliopsida; Asterales; Asteraceae
Exons: 2
Source: RefSeq, a predicted model, not a curated record
CAUAAUUGUUAGAUAAGAGGCCCCAAUCUGCACAAUUAACCUCUUCAGCCCAAACCUUCACUAACCAUGGCGAAUUGCUUUUUUUACUCAACAGAGACGAUGACCGAUAAAGAAUUCAAUUAAUCACUCCAUUACGAGUUUAUUAAUCCUCUUUAUUUGCCUCUCCACACCCUCUUCAGCCGGCAAUUUACCUACCUCUUAUCAGUUAUCACCCUUCAAAAUUCCCCAAUUUCUGAUCGAAUUUGUUCGAUUCGUUACGUUUCAGUGGUGGGUUUUGAUUCUUUCGUUGAUCUGAUUGGUGACAAAUCUUGAUACUUACAGAGAAGUUAGGCUGUUCUGGAAGGCGAUACAUUCGUUUGGCGGGCUGCUUCAGGAGCUCUUCCGACUAGAGAAGCUUUGGUAAGACGAGGCGUGUUUUUAUCCGACUGUGGAAGUAAUUUAGAAUUGGUGGACCUCAACCUUCUCUUAUGUCGUUUAGCUAGAGAGGUUUGGAUGCAAAUCGGAGCUUGCCUGCAGUUAUCGAUUCCAACAGAUAUCGGGUCAGUUCCAAACAUAAGGCAUUGGAAGCGGUGGUGAUGUUAACGUGUUGGACACUUUGGAUGGGGGCAGAACGAAAAGGUUUUAAAUGGAACUACCACUUGUCUUUAAAUGGUUCAGGAGGUUAAGGACACUUCUUUCUGGUGAUCCAUCACAGAUCUAAGUGGAAGAGUAUUGGAGCAAUAACUUUGUUGGGUGGUUUUGUUUGGUUUUUGGUGCUUGGUUGUUGUACUCUCUGUUUGUGUCUCUUAGCUUCUUGCUAAGGGUUGACAAGUUUGUUGAAUGCUAGUCGCCUCCUAUUGGCGUUCAGA